Neofelis nebulosa (Clouded leopard) is the source of this 760-nucleotide long non-coding RNA. RefSeq lists it as uncharacterized. NCBI's taxonomy places the organism in Eukaryota, Metazoa, Chordata, Mammalia, Carnivora, Felidae. The transcript has 3 exons. The record is from RefSeq and is a predicted model, not a curated record.
GAUCGAAAUGUUUUCAAAUCUCUGAUCUUCACGUCCCGCCCAUCUCUAGAGAAGGGAAGAACUAUGACUGUUCUUGGACAACAAAUCUGAGGCUCAGCAGGGUCGGAGAACUUGGGUGCAGUCAGUUAAGUGGGAGAAUCAGGACUGUCCUCUGAAGACACGGACGCCGAAAGGAAUAGGGAAAAUAGGGCAGGUGUUGGAAUCCAAAAGAUCUGAGUCUGAAUCACAGAUGCCAAACUGCAGAACCUCUUUACCCCUCCAGACUAAUUUUUUCAUCUGUGCAAUUGGUUUUUCAUCUGCUUUGAGGAACUCAGGUCCUUCCUUCUGACCCCUCUACGUUUGCUGGGCAUGUGCAGGGAAGUUAGACAGAGCGGGGUUUGGAGUGAAGCCACUCAAGUCCGCGUCCCUACUUUGCAGCUUGCUGGCUCCACGGCCAAACGCAAAUCACCUUCUUUCUCUAGCUCUCGGUUUGCUCAGAGGGAAGAUGAUGGCCCGCGUCGUGGGCGCAACUCAGCAUCAGACUCAAAGCUUCUUUAGGAAGAGACGGCCUGGACACAGGGAUACAGACAAGGCCUCUCUAAACCACAGCGUGUGGCUGCAGCUUUCUCAGCCUGGGGAGAGGACCGGGCUGCAUGUGCAGACAAGUUUGGAAAGCCUUGACCAAGACCCCUGAGUCCACGGUGCCGCCUGGCAAAAUGUAUCACGUCGUGAGCACACCGCCGGCAGUAAAGGGCCAGGAGCCAAGAGCCGAGGACCUGCU